Molecule: long non-coding RNA, 842 nt
Organism: Rhopilema esculentum
Lineage: Eukaryota; Metazoa; Cnidaria; Scyphozoa; Rhizostomeae; Rhizostomatidae
Source: RefSeq, a predicted model, not a curated record
GCGACACAGUUCAGCAAUAACAGCAUCACAGUUGCCUAGCAACUCUACGUCGAAGUUAAAAUGGUGCAAGGGCUCGCGGUUUAUUAGUAUCUGUGGCACAUCAGGCUUGAGGUAAUCUACAAAGUGGAGUUUAUAUGAUGCCAUUAAGAGUUAUAAAACUAAAGAAAAUCAAAACUGUUUAAACAGUAAGACAAAAAUUUCAAAAUUCAAGCACAGUUAUAUGUGACAUUCGCACAGAAGUCAGUCCCCAGACUUUUUUGUUUCUCAGAAUGCUUUGUUUUCAAAAUGCUGUGUCUUACAAUACUUUGCAAUCCUGUAUAGGUUGAUGCAGCCAUGUUGGUAAUGGGCUUUCUCAGCCCGAGAGUACCUCUCUCGACUGGAAUAAACUACAUGUUUCAAUUAAUCAUUUAGAAUUUUGAGAAAUUUGCAAACUUAUCUGCACAUGAUAAACAGAUAAAACAAUUAAGCAGACAAAAACAAAAUUGCCUUAUUUGCAAUUUACAGUUUUGAUUUUAGAUAUGCAUUUCUUUAUUCAAUUUAGAUUUUACCCUUGAUGAUGAAACAGCCUCAAAAGAGGUUACCUGGAAUCAAAGCCACUGGCCUGACCUUGAGUGAAGAGCCAAUGACAAUAAGAAGGUCAGCCUGGAGUUGAAUAAAGUGAUGUUUGUUAGAUGUUGCAUAGACAAGCACAUUUGGGGUACCUGAUCAAAAGGCAACAUGAAAGAAGGCCGAGAUGGCUAAAAAACACUAGAUGCAGUGUAAACACAAGCUAACACAGAGGAUCAAAAUAUUUGCCCUCUGGCAAAAUGAUGUAAUAUCAAUGAAUACACACCCCAGCUCCA